RNAcentral lists this long non-coding RNA (2421 nucleotides) under Phasianus colchicus (ring-necked pheasant). RNAcentral's name for it is "lncRNA (ENSPCLG00000012939.1)". The record is from RNAcentral. Lineage: Eukaryota; Metazoa; Chordata; Aves; Galliformes; Phasianidae.
UAGGAGUCUGCAUGUAACUGCUACCUUCCAGAAUCUCAGCUGGGACUAUGCAGAACCCUGUUAGUUCCCUCCCUUCUGCAAUCAGCACAAGCAGCAUUUAAAGCCUCUUUCUACAAGUAAGUGAGUCCACAUUUUAAUUCCACCUCCACUUGCAACAUGCAGAUUUUCCCCUUUCACGUGCUUUCUGUUCCCUCACAGAGCACCUUGCUGUGUUUCCAUUCUCGCAUCAUCUCUUGCUGGUUUCUCAUUUACAUCAUAAUACCAGAGUUGCUGUUUACACUGAGCUGCACAAAUGCUGCACAGUGUUUUAGGUCUGACUGUGGUGUGAUCAUUAACAUCACACCACUGGCCCCAGGGAGUUUCAUGACUGGAUUCAGAUCCAUCUGCCCUGUGUUCCCAACAGGAGUUCCCCCUACAGGCCUGAAUAUUUUGGCAAGAGACAAUUCACUACAUGUCAGGCAGGAGGCAAGAGACACCUUAAUCUGCACUGAUGGUAAAUGUCUCUCCAUCUUUGAGGACAGAAAGUCACUCCUGAUGCUUGGCACAGAGGAGGUUCAAAGUUGCAGCCUAAAAAUGGCUGCAUUCUCUGAAGAAGAGAAAAGAAAGGAAGAAAGGAAGAAAGGAAGAAAGGAAGAAAGGAAGAAAGGAAGAAAGGAAGAAAGAAAGAAAGAAAGAAAGAAAGAAAGAAAGAAAGAAAGAAAGAAAGAAAGAAGGAAAGAAAGAGAGAAAGAAAGAAGGAAAGAAGGAAAGAAAGAAGGAAAGAAGGAAAGAAGGAAGGAAAGAAGGAAAGGAAAGAAGGAAAGAAAGAAGGAAAGAAGGAAAGAAAGAAGGAAAGAAAGAAGGAAAGAAGGAAAGAAGGAAAGAAGGAAAGAAAGAAGGAAAGAAAGAAGGAAAGAAAAAAGAAAAUUACUAGCAGAAUAUUAAGUAUUACAGAGCUUGUCCUAAACAACAGCAAUCUCUGUUGGCUUCUCAGAAGUUGCAGAACGUACACAUGCAAACAGAAGUGCCCUCGGGAGACAUGCACAACACAAACUGGGCCCCAAGGCUGGCUGUUGGCUCUGUCCUUUCAUCUCUAACGCACAGCUCAGGCUGACCUUUAAUGGGGAAAUGGAAAAAAGGGAGGUGGCUGCUACUGAGUUGCACAGAGGAGAAAAAAAUAGAGUGUGAGUUAUUAAGGGGAAGAAAGGAAAACAUUUAGAAAAUCCUGGGAGGCAGAAUAUUUUAAGAAUGCUUCUGGAUGGAGCACAGAUUCUGCAGAAGUGGCUGCUGCGCUGUGGGUUUGUUACUGAGUAUCCUUAGGCUUUCUCGGGGUGGAUACCCAAAGUCUGAGACUUCAAAAUCUGCAUGAACUUUUGAAAAUCUUGGUUUCUUACAUGUUCCUGUACUGCUCCAACAGCUGUGAACCCUUGAACUUCCUCAGCACUAAGUGUUGUUACAGGAAUUAGGACAGGUGUCUUUCUGGGGCAAAUAUGGAAUACUAAGACCCCACAGUUUGGCAGGGAAUCAUAGAAUCCUAAAUCAUAGACUGGUUUGGGAUGGAAGGGACCUCAAAGCUGGCUGUCAGCUCAGCCUGUCCAGGGCCCACCCAGCCCAGCCUUGGGCACCUCCAGGGCUGAGUACCCACAGCAGUGCCAGGACCUCACCACCCUCUGAGUGAAGAAUUUCUAAUACCUAACCUAAAUUUCCCCUCUUCUAGUUUAAAAACAUUCCCUGUUGUCCUCGUACCAUCUGUCCAUGUGAAAAGCUUCUCCUGUUUAUAAGCUCCCAUUAAGUACUGGAAGGUCUCCCUGGAUCUUUCUCUUCUCAAGGCUGAACAAGCCCAGCUCCCUCAAUUUCUCUUUAUAGGAGAGGUGCUCCACCCCUAUCAGCAUCUUCACAGCCCUCCUCUGAACCUGCCCCAACAGCUCCAAUGGGAAAUUCCACGUACUCAAACCAACAUAAAACAGGCUGUGGUGCAGCCAGCAACAAGUGUGAUAGCACACUGUCCAGCAUAGGUUGGACAAUCAUCAUCACCAAUUUACUCUCUUUCUAAAAAGAAAAGAUGAGUUUUCAAAGAGUGGCAGUCUCUGUCUAUUUUUCAACACCCCCCAUACUUUGGAUAGGUGACCUGUAGCUAGUUCAGCUACUCCUGUAUAUACUCAUGUCUAUGGGAGGAACAGAGAAGGCCCCGCUGACCUGCUGCCACACAUACCAUCCACUGUGCAUACCUACAUGGGGGUCCAGCUUCUGUGCCUGAACCAAAGCUGCCUUCACUUGUGGCCGUGGGGGAGAGCCCAGAGUCUCUGUCUGUGGCAGCACAACUUCAUGCCUGUUGGAAGAAUUGUGUGGAAGAAAGUGGAGAAAAAAUCACUGUGAAUUAAUCAAGCCAUCAUCAAUGGCACCAGGUGCACUGGCUGUACAAGGAAAACAAAUAAAUCAACC